GUGAAAUUACUGGGCAAAUUACACUUGACAUCUUAUGUGUAGGUAGUAGUGUCUACUUCAUUGAUUAUAUUAGAAAUGAUGUCCAAAAUAAUUCUAAAGGAAUUAAUUUAAAAAACAAAAAUGCCAUUUUUUGUCUCAAGGUGACGAGCGCAGUUGGUGUGCCGCUCAGAAUAUUUGGUUUUUUCAAUAACCUUGAGCGGCUCUGCAUUGUUAUGGGUAGGGCGUAUUAAUUACCAUUAGCUGAACGUCUCGCUCCUCUCGUCCCAUAUUUUCAUUUGAAAAAAUAUUAAUAUUUACACCGUAAAAUUAACACAGUUAUAUUAGAAGCUGACAAAAUAUACCCAUAAUUAUUGUGAUGCAAUUGGUUUGUAACAUUAAUGUUGCGAUAAAUUAAAAUAUUCAAUAAUCUUACUAAAGAAAAAAUUGCCAGGAAAUGGACUAAAUUGUAUUCAUCAUUUUGAUUGCCAUGACCAAGCCAAGGGUUUAUAUAGGUUUCAUGUAAAUGUAGAAAAUAAAGUUAAAAAUUAUUUUAAUAUCAGUAAAAUAUCAAUCAAUCCUAAUAAUUAAGAAGAAGGAAUUGAUGAGUUUUAUAUUAUCCCUUAUUGUAGCUAAGCCAUGUAAGUACACGUUUUCAGAAAGCAUUGAAUAAUAAAAUAUUAACUGAAUGUUAUGACUGCCCUUUUUAUCUGCCUAUAGAUAGGUAAAAUGAGAUAAGCCAACGGUUUAUCGGUAAAUGUAUUUUGCAGAAUCAGUCACUCAUCGACAAUGGAGCAAUAGUUGCACAAUUAAUAUUUGUUUUAGUAACGAAACACGGGACCUAUCUUCUGAUACUGUUCAUGUUAAAGUGGUGAAGCGUAAAAUAUGGAUAUUAGGACCCCACCACCACCGUAUUCAGAGCAACCGACCGAUCAACAUAGAAUGAUAAUAGAGGAACCAAAACGUUUUCAGUCCACAAUAACUUCAAAUCCUACUGUGAUUGUGAUGCAAAGCUUGGGAACUCAACCCAGCACCUGUUUCUGUGCAACGUGUAACCAAAAUGUUACAACAAGAAUUGAAGCAGUGACGUCAUGCAGAACACACACUUUUGCUGCAUUUCUGUGUCUUUUUAUUUGCUGGCCUUGCGCCUGGAUACCGUACUUCAUUGAUACGUGCAAGAAGAUCGAACAUUACUGUCCUUACUGUAACACAUAUUUAGGUUCUAGCGUGUAAUAAACUUUAAAUAUUAACAUUUA
Long non-coding RNA from Leptidea sinapis, 1232 nucleotides. RefSeq lists it as uncharacterized. Lineage: Eukaryota; Metazoa; Arthropoda; Insecta; Lepidoptera; Pieridae. The transcript has 2 exons. The record is from RefSeq and is a predicted model, not a curated record.